RNAcentral lists this ribosomal RNA (468 nucleotides) under uncultured bacterium. RNAcentral's name for it is "partial 16S ribosomal RNA". It matches the Rfam family "Bacterial small subunit ribosomal RNA", at positions 28 to 507 of the family's 1533-position model. The record is from RNAcentral.
GACGAACGCUGGCGGCGUGCUUAACACAUGCAAGUCGAACGGAAAGGCCCUGCUUUUGUGGGGUGCUCGAGUGGCGAACGGGUGAGUAACACGUGAGUAACCUGCCCUUGACUUUGGGAUAACUUCAGGAAACUGGGGCUAAUACCGGAUAGGAGCUCCUGCUGCAUGGUGGGGGUUGGAAAGUUUCGGCGGUUGGGGAUGGACUCGCGGCUUAUCAGCUUGUUGGUGGGGUAGUUGAUUACCAAGGCUUUGAAGGGUAGCCGGCCUGGGAGGGUGACCGGCCACAUUGGGACUGAGGUACGGCCCAGACUCCUACGGGAGGCAGCAGUGGGGAAUAUUGCACAAUGGGCGGAAGCCUGAUGCAGCAACGCCGCGUGCGGGAUGACGGCCUUCGGGUUGUAAACCGCUUUCGCCUGUGACGAAGCGUGAGUGACGGUAAUGGGUAAAGAAGCACCGGCUAACUACGUG